RNAcentral lists this unclassified non-coding RNA (260 nucleotides) under Athalia rosae (coleseed sawfly). RNAcentral's name for it is "misc RNA ENSAEAG00005010316.1". Lineage: Eukaryota; Metazoa; Arthropoda; Insecta; Hymenoptera; Athaliidae. The record is from RNAcentral.
AAAUGGUCAUUCAUCUGCGAGCAGCUCGACAACCGUGGGAAAGUUCAACUAUACGAGGAGCCCAUUAUACAGCCUGGAAACAAUUCCUGGAGGAUUGAUGUGUGCGGUACGAAGCAACCCCCGUAUCCGUAAUACGUAUGAUAAUAAUAUUUCAAGGAAGACGGGAAUACAGAACGGUGCUUCUGCUUUGGAAAAAAUAAGAAGAGUAAAAAAUUAUUCAACCGAUCAAGAACAAAGGCCCGCUUUUGUAACCAAGCUAC